Long non-coding RNA from Arabidopsis thaliana (thale cress), 200 nucleotides. RefSeq annotates it as other RNA. The record is from RefSeq. NCBI's taxonomy places the organism in Eukaryota, Viridiplantae, Streptophyta, Magnoliopsida, Brassicales, Brassicaceae. The transcript has a single exon.
UAGCAUCUCUGGCUCCAUUUCCUUGUCACACAGCACAAGAAUAAGUGUAUUCAAGAUUAAUCAGAAGGAAUGAAUUACGUGGGCACUCAAAGGUCCAUUUAUUAUGAUCCUAUUCGAUUUCCAAAACAUUUGAACAAAUGUACCGAUAUGAAAAAUAGAAUAUCAGUAAUCCAUUACCUUUUCAUCUAAAGCAUGCUGUA